Small nuclear RNA from Jaculus jaculus (lesser Egyptian jerboa), 103 nucleotides. NCBI's taxonomy places the organism in Eukaryota, Metazoa, Chordata, Mammalia, Rodentia, Dipodidae. The record is from RefSeq and is a predicted model, not a curated record.
GUGUUCCCUUCAGCAGCAUAUAUACUAAAAUUGAAACCACACAGAGAUUACAUGGCCCCUGCAUGAGGAUGACACACAAAUUCAUGAAGUGUUCCACAUUAAA